GCCUGAGUCGCGGGUGUGCACUAGGCCUCAGUCGUGUAUCUACUGUGUCGAUUAGACAAAGGGUAAACUCAAGGGGAGGAUGGGAGGCUGUCAAGUAGCCGACGGGCAAUGCAAUGUUGCAAUAUCGCAAGUCAUCACACUUACGGCAAAUGAUGUAAAAAAAAAAAGCUAUCAAA
Molecule: long non-coding RNA, 176 nt
Organism: Daphnia pulicaria
Lineage: Eukaryota; Metazoa; Arthropoda; Branchiopoda; Diplostraca; Daphniidae
Exons: 3
Source: RefSeq, a predicted model, not a curated record